AUUGAACGCUGGCGGCGUGCUUAACACAUGCAAGUCGUGCGGUAACAGGCGUAGCAAUACGUGCUGACGAGCGGCGAACGGGUGCGUAAUACAUGGGAAUCUGCCUUUUAGUGGGGAAUAACCCGGCGAAAGCCGGGCUAAUGCCGCAUAAGAUCUUCGGAUGAAAGCGGGGGAUCGUAAGACCUCGCGCUGAUAGAUGAGCCCAUGCCGGAUUAGCUAGUGGUGAGGUAACGGCUCACCAAGGCGACGAUCCGUAGCUGGUCUGAGAGGACGGCCAGCCACACUGGGACUGAGACACGGCCCAGACUCCUACGGGAGGCAGCAGUGGGGAAUAUUGGACAAUGGGGGAAACCCUGAUCCAGCGACGCCGCGUGUGUGAAGAAGGCCUGCGGGUUGUAAAGCACUUUC
Molecule: ribosomal RNA, 408 nt
Filed under: uncultured bacterium
Lineage: Bacteria
Description: bacterial SSU rRNA
Rfam family: Bacterial small subunit ribosomal RNA
Source: RNAcentral